UAAGAAGAAACUAAGUCUUAGCGAUAACCAAGUGGCAGAUGUGGCAGAAGAGAAAUUUGAAACCAGGGCCACCUUGAGCCUGCACACAUGUCUGGCCUAUCCUGGGGACAGACAUUUCAAGCAGAGAGAGGUACGGGAGCACUGUUUGAGCCUGGAGCUUAAAUUGCGAAUCCAGAGAGCCCUCGCUGAGCAUGCAUUGUGCCCAGAGUUGCUUUCAUGUGGAUCAACUCAGGCUUCUAUGGCAGAACCAUAGGUAGGGUCCACAGAAGUGGUUUCUGCCAAUCUUUGAAGAGUCCUGAUCUUAUGUAAUCAAAGAAGCUUCAAGUCUGGAAGAGAGAGGCAAAAGUUGAGAGUCAGGGGAAUCUGAAGAUGCUACACUGCUGGCUUUGAAGACGAGGAUGGGUCAUGAGCCUAAUAAAAAAGGU
This 425-nucleotide long non-coding RNA is filed under the name Pongo abelii (Sumatran orangutan). Its description in RNAcentral is "lincRNA". The record is from RNAcentral. Lineage: Eukaryota; Metazoa; Chordata; Mammalia; Primates; Hominidae.